This 253-nucleotide ribosomal RNA is filed under the name uncultured bacterium. RNAcentral describes it as "partial 16S ribosomal RNA". It matches the Rfam family "Bacterial small subunit ribosomal RNA", at positions 524 to 776 of the family's 1533-position model. The record is from RNAcentral.
UACGUAGGCGGCAAGCGUUACCCGGAUUUAUUGGGCGUAAAGAGUGCGCAGGCGGUUUUGAAAGUCAUCAUUGAAAUCUUGGGGCUCAACCCCAAGCCUGGUGGUGAUACUUCAAGACUAGGUUACUUGAGGGGGUACCGGAACAGUUGGUGGAGCAGUGAAAUGCGUUGAUAUCAACUGGAACACCAAAGGCGAAGGCAGGUACCUGGCAAGUCAACGACGCUGUUGCACGAAAGCGUGGGGAGCAAAACGG